CUCUUCUUGUUUUAUUUUUGAAGUAUAACCUGCCCACUGAUAUAAAUUUGAAGGGCCGCGGUAUUUUGACCGUGCAAAGGUAGCAUAAUCAUUAGUCUUUUAAUUGAAGACUGGAAUGAAUGGUUGGACGAGGAAUAUACUGUUUCUUAAUAAUUUAAUUUGAAUUUAAAGUUUAAGUUAAAAUGCUUAAAUUUUUUUAUGGGACGAGAAGACCCUAUAGAGUUUAAUAAAUUUUAUUAUUAUUUUGUUCGUUUAAAUUUAAUUUAUUUUAAAAUUUAUUUUGUUGGGGUGAUGGAAAUGAAUUAAUUAACUCUUUCUUUUAUAUGUAUAUUAAUAUAUAGUUUUUUGAUCCAUUUUUAUUGAUUAUAAGACUAAAUUACCUUAGGGAUAACAGCGUAAUCCUUUUUGAGAGUUCUUAUCAAUAAAAGGGUUUGCGA
This 437-nucleotide ribosomal RNA is filed under the name Punctulonicus sp. MD-2022. RNAcentral describes it as "partial large subunit ribosomal RNA". The record is from RNAcentral. Lineage: Eukaryota; Metazoa; Arthropoda; Insecta; Blattodea; Blattidae.